GCAUCAUGGAUUUUUCUUUGCCGCAAUACCAGUUAGGAGCCAUCGACUCUGUGCUCACAACAAGGGCGUAUGAGUCUUUGUAUGACUUGAACAAGCCCUGGACAACAUCAACGGCCACCAGGCUUGCGCUGCAGCCCAUUCCGGAAAGGUUGAAUGUCUUGAUGUUCUCCCUCAUCUUGUAACGGUUCACUAUUCGAGAUGUUAGGGAGGGUGAAGGGGAGAACAUAGAGACAUUGACUACGAGGAUGUCGAUUUGUGAUGGGGAGACUGAAGGGUACCGGGUGAAAAGAUUGUCAAGUGUGUUGAAGAUGAUUUCAUCCAUCUCAGAGAGUGAAUCUGCUAGGUUUGGCUUUUCUUCUCGGCCUUGGAGGAUGUUCCUUGGGCAAGAAGUUUCCUCACCAAUGCCGGAAUUGACAAUGGUUUUCAAGAGAAACCUGAACUCUUCCAGCCCCAGAUUCUUGUUUCUCAUGACGAUUUUCGCACAUGAGUCGGUUCGGAGCUUCAUGUCCUCUGUGGGUUUGUAGCACUCAUAGGCCAGUAAAUAGCAGGACUGAUGUCUCCUUUGGAGAAAUGACUUUAAAAGGCAGCAAAAACCAUAGAAAAGAGAGACUAGACACAUUGUCAAGAGAAACUCCAUGGUCUAGCUAAGCUCACUGUGUGUGUAAAUGAAGAGUGAGAAGAGAAAAAGAGAGAGACAGAGAGCGAUCGAGAUAUUAGAAUUGUUGUUGAGUGUAAAUUAGUUGCAUGGAGACUGCAACUCCAACAAUUCUGUAUGUCGCUCGCUCUGUACGUAUUCUGCUCCAUAUCUCGUCCUUAUAAAUAGAAAUGCAUUGUCAACUAUUUGUGAGUAUGAAUUAUUGAUGAAGCACGCGUGCUGGUUCAUUUUGACAAAUAAAUUAAAAAUAGUUGGCACUCAUUAAGAUUGUUAAGCAGUGGUUAUAUAUGCAAAGCAUUGAAUAGGUCAAGUUGAGCAUAUAUGCAUGCAUAAAAAUGGGUGGGAUUUCAAAUUAUUGAGAUGAAACAUAUAAUUCAUGUCUAAAAAGAAAAUUGAGAUGAAAAAUUGAAAAUAUGUGUGAUUUUAAACAUACAGUUGUUAUAACGCCCCGGACCUUAAUUGACCCGUUUACCGUCAAUUGGACCGUAAACGACUUCAUUUUUACUUUUACCGUUUUCGAACUAUUUAAGGCUCCAGAAGUUGACUUCCUCUUCCAUUUGAAAUUUGAGAAAACUUCCCAUAUGUAAGUUGUAGAGUGCGUUAAACCGAGUUCGUGGACACGUGGCACGCCGAUAACAGAGUUCGUAUGAAGAAGUUACGGUCUAAAAACCGAAGCUUCUAUAUCGGAAGUGGUAGUAUAAAAGGGGAAACUUACCAAAAGUGGUAAGGUAGAAAAUCAGUUUCACUUUUUCCUUCUCUCUCCUCUCCCUUGCGUCUCUCUCUCUACCGGCGACUUCCUUGCCACCGUCCGGCUGAGUUAGGCGGCAAGGUGGGUAUCGAUUUGAAGCUCUGCUCCUCCUCCAUCAAUCUUGGUAGGCUGCCGUACCUAUCGCUCCGCCAUGAAGGAGAAAUCACGCCGAGGAGGUGCGACUGUGCGUGGUGGAGUUUAACCGGAAACUUCCUCCUCCGGCCACCAUAGUCGAAGAUCCUUAUACCAACUUGAAGCACUCCUUUCGAGUAGCAAACCCUCAAGAGGAUUCAACCUAAUUCGAUCGAGGAUACGAGGAGACCUCACUUGAGUGGCGAUUCGGAUUUCAUCAGGCUUAGGCCUAAAUCUGUGAGUGGACACUUUGUUUGUAAAUGAAUAAGCAUGCAUGGUUUCUUUUAGAAAUUAUCGUUCUAUUUUCCGAGCUUAUAUUAAAAUUUUGGCUUAUAAAAUGAUAUUGGAAUUUAUUUGAGUUUGAUGCAUGGAUUAAUCUUUGUCAUGAUUUAUGGAUUUGAGCUCGGGUUAUAAAAAGUUGGUAUUUGAGUUUUGAUAUUCUUUAUGAUUUCCGGAUUUAAUUAUUAUUGUUUUUAUUUGUUGACUUUGAGAUUUAUAAAAGAUUACCGAAAAUGGGAUUUUCGGUGGUUCUCUAUUUAUAAUUUUCACGGUUAUUUGUGGGUUAUUGAUUUUGACAUUGAAAAUAUUUUAGCGAGUAUUUCAGGUUGAGAAAUUAUUUACGAUUUAUACUUGAUAAUUAAAUCUCACUUAUAAUUAUAGUAUUGAGAAUAUUUUGACGUGUGAGACACGUCAUUGAGUUUUAUUUAUUUUCUUAUGAUAAUUAUCAAGUUCGGUUGGGAACCGUACCAUUCACACGAUCUUGGGGAAGCUUUAUGGAUUUAAGUGUUUUCGUAUGUUUGUAGUCACCAAUCUAUAGGGUCGAUCUUAUUUAUUGCUAGGUAGCCUUUAAUAGUGGUCCUCGCCAUAGGUGAGUUGAGCAGUUAGCGUGAGACGCUACUAUAGCCUGGGAGGCUCUGAUGGGUUUUUAUUCAUUGUUAGUUAGCCAUUAUUAGCGGUCCUCACCAUAGGUGAGUCGAGCGCUUAGCGUGGAACGCUACCCGAGCCUAGGAGGCUCCUCUUACAUGGUGAUAUCUCUUCCCCUUGUUUUAUUUUCUCAGUUAUGUAAUUGAUUAACCAGCGGAGCUAGUUUAUCUCUUCUUAUGAGAUUUCUGUAUUUGAUUAACCAGCAGAGCUGGUUUGUCUCUUUUUACGAGCUUCUGGAAGUUAAGCUAAAUGUUAUAUUAAAGUUGGAUGCAUUAAGGUUUCUAUUUAAAGUUUAAAUGUGGGAAAGUAAAUCACGUUUUUGUUAAAUUAUUUAAUUUAUUUUUGUCCAUUCACUCUAACAUUUUUCAAUUACUUUCCCUUGUGCCCUUCAGUUUCAAAUGCCCAGAUUGUAGGUUAGCUUAGAAGAGGUCGGGCGUACACGGAGUUGAGGCAUAGUCAAUAUUACCGCUUUCGCUUGCUCUUUUAUUUAUGUUUUUCCUUCAUUAUUAGAUUUUCUCUGAUGACCAUUUGAGAUUGUUAUUAGGAUUAAAGUUUUAUGUAUUUUGGGAGAUGUGAUGAACUUGGGGAACAUGAAGGCUCAAGGAGUACAAGGUUGAAAUAUAAUAUAGAAGUGUGUUGUAGCAGGUUGGUUUUGAUUAGGUUGAGUUGUCCAUUUUCAGGUUGGUGUUGUAGCCUUUUAUCAUCCAUUACUAAGAAGACGAUUAGUUAUGUGCAUAUGAGGGACUCUAUUCAUCUCAAUCUUAUAUCUUUUGGGUUGUUUAAUUUGUACUUCAUUUGGUCUAACUGUUCAUUUCGUAUUACAAGCCUAGUUAAUUUGAAUAUUAUUUUCUUUUAUAAUUUUGAACGAAAUUUGUAACUUCAAUUCAAGAAUCAAUUAACGAAGAAUAUUCAUUCCUAUUACACAGCAAAAUUGCGCUCUUUCGUUUUUGUACAUAGAUUCCAUGUAAUAAUAGUUGGCAAGAGACUUGCUACGUACCAGUAAACCUCUUCUACAUACUCCUCUACAUGCAUGCAGCUCCAUCGAUCGGAUCUUUUGCUCUUAGCUGCAACCUGCUCAAAUCUCCAACAUGUGCGCUUAUAUGUUGGCUUACUUUCUGUUCGACUUUCUGUUGUCCUCUAUUGGGCUGGUAUUUGUUCCUUUUCAUCUGAUUAGUAAUAAGUACAAUUUCUGGCCUUGAAAUGCUGCAUGGCUUGGCAUGCAUGGUGCCCCUGUAGUCCUCUAUUGUUAAUCAACCCUAAAUCAUAAAGAGAUUGCUUUUUCUUGAUGAUAAGACUAGCUGGUUCUCCCAGUUUUAUGAUAAAUUAGCUGUACGUGGAGGACGAUUAGUCAGAACAUUGCCUUUAAAAUAGGUAAUCUUUGCUACCAGCGGCUAGUACUUCACAUUCAAACUUGUGUCAUCGAGUAAUGAUAUCAAUGUCAUCGAGUAAUUAUAUCAAACAGAUACACAGCUCAGCUGCACAGACCAUUAUUGAAGUUUAUUACUUUGAAUGGUAACUGUACGUAAGCAGGUAAGGCCAGCAAACAUUGGCUAAGUUUAUAUCUGGAUGGACCAACACAUGGGUGAGAACUUCUCUAUAACUAUUGACAAUUUAAUUAUGUGGAUGAGAGAAUUGCAGUCUGUCAUAUACUCAUAUCUCAGAAGCUGCAUGCAUCUGCAAUUUUAAUUUUCAGCUAACAUUGCAUAUAUCAAAGGGUGCAGAACAGUAGUGUACUGCAAGAUUUAUAAUUGAUGAACUUUCCCAAUGAAGAACCAUUCUUCAUUGGGUUCUCAUGAAAUGAGAAAGUUUCUCAUUCACCACCUUCCCCCACUUUUCUUCUUUUGCCAAAUGCGAUCUGCUGUGAUAUCUUGAAGAGGCCAAAAUGCAUGAUACAUCUGAAAACCUGAGAGAAAUAUAUUAUCAUACUUUACAAUAACUUCCCUUUCUAAUAAUUUCUUUGAUAAUAUUUUGUCAAGUGUUGAGUUAGUACAUCAUAUUAAUUUAUUUCAGAUUUCGUUAGAGAGUAAAGUCUUUGAAACAAAAUUCUGACAGCACUAUAUACUGUCAUGAAUGACUGUCCCUCUAUAUGUGCUGGUUUGGACAGAAGACUCUUCACCACUGAUAUUGAUUCCAGUAGAUCGAUAUUGACAGAACCAAUUAUUUGUAUAGAAAUCCAGUAGACCUUCUGGACCUAGAAUUAAUUACAUAUAGCAGAUCAAAAUGAAGAUAAUAAAAAAAACAUUUGAGUUCAUGUAUCCAUUACAUUAACUUUUAUUAAUUGAUUUGGCAAAACAAUAUACAUAAGCACCUGCUCUAGCAGGAGGGUUUAUGUAUGAGAUACAUACACUAUAUAUUAACUUUUGACAAGAAGAAAAUUCAUAUGAAAAACUUGACACUGCGUACGUACCCUUUACGUGAGCAACUUCAAAAUACAAUUGAUGAUAUUGAUGAAAUAUAUAACCCAAUCCGAAUCAUGAACAACCGAAAGAAAAAUAAUUUAGGGCCUUUAGGUAAUCAUUAACCCAAUACUAUGGAAAACUUAAGCGAAUAUUUUGCUGAAAUCAAUCCUAACAAAGCUGAGGUAAUCAUCAUUGAGCCAACUAAACUUCUCCAUGAAAGGGUUGUCUAUAGUAUGUGGAGGAUAACUAUCUAUGCAGUCUUUCCAAACAUUAGCAUCAUCCAAGUCCCUCAGUACUUCCCAAACAAUAUUGUUGCACUUAAAACCUGCUCCAAAUCCACUCAUAAGAAUCCUAUCACCCUUCUUAAGCCUCUUUUUGGCUUCCAUGUAUCCUAAAGCAUACCAAAACCCAGCAGCUGAUGUGUUACCAAAUCGGAAAAGCGCCAUUCUAGAUGGCUCAAGAUCAUACUCUUCUAAUGCUAAGCUCUUGCCAAUCCCAUCUAUGAUUGCUCUUCCACCAGGGUGGAUACAGAAGUGCUCUAUUCCAGCCUUCAUAUUCAAACCAGCUCCUACUGCUUCUAACUUUUGGCUCUUUUUCCCCCUGUUCUUCCGCAGCCAAGACUCCAGCACGUACCGGAGUAUUUCCCUUAGUGGAAGUACUUUUGGCACCAGGACUUGUAGGUUCAUUGUGAGAGAAAGAGCUGCUGCUUUUGUGAGGUAUUUGGUAAGACGAAAACCUGGGUAACCACUAUCAUCUUCUAGCUGUAUGCAACAAUUGUAAGCAUCAUCACUGGAGCCGAUAUGUGUUCUUACCAGUGUCUUCAAUUUCAAGAUAGCUUGGUGCCUAUGGUAUCUUCUAUUGGUGAACAGCAUCGAACAGCCUCCCGAGCGAAACAAACAGUUGGUGAGCAUCAUGGAUUUUUCUUUGCCGCAAUACCAGUUAGGAGCCAUCGACUCUGUGCUCACAACAAGGGCGUAUGAGUCUUUGUAUGACUUGAACAAGCCCUGGACAACAUCAACGGCCACCAGGCUUGCGCUGCAGCCCAUUCCGGAAAGGUUGAAUGUCUUGAUGUUCUCCCUCAUCUUGUAACGGUUCACUAUUCGAGAUGUUAGGGAGGGUGAAGGGGAGAACAUAGAGACAUUGACUACGAGGAUGUCGAUUUGUGAUGGGGAGACUGAAGGGUACCGGGUGAAAAGAUUGUCAAGUGUGUUGAAGAUGAUUUCAUCCAUCUCAGAGAGUGAAUCUGCUAG
This 6108-nucleotide long non-coding RNA is filed under the name Fragaria vesca (wild strawberry). RNAcentral describes it as "long non-coding RNA (FVES_LNC005326)". Lineage: Eukaryota; Viridiplantae; Streptophyta; Magnoliopsida; Rosales; Rosaceae. The record is from RNAcentral.